GGCGAACCGUGCGAACGUUGUUCGGAAUCACUGGGCUUAAAGGGCGCGUAGGCGGACCACCCAGUCCGGGGUGAAAUCUUUCGGCUUAACCGGAAAAGGGCCUUGGAUACUGGUGGUCUCGAGGAAGGUAGGGGCAUGCGGAACUUCCGGUGGAGCGGUGAAAUGCGUUGAUAUCGGAAGGAACGCCGGUGGCGAAAGCGGCGUGCUGGACCUUUGCUGACGCUGAGGCGCGAAAGCCAGGGGAGCAAACGGG
This 253-nucleotide ribosomal RNA is filed under the name uncultured bacterium. RNAcentral describes it as "partial 16S ribosomal RNA". It matches the Rfam family "Bacterial small subunit ribosomal RNA", at positions 524 to 776 of the family's 1533-position model. The record is from RNAcentral.